GAGUUACAAAAUAAGCCUACUUAAACCAACCCUUAUACCAAUUACUUAAAUCAUUUUAACACGUAAGUAUGGGUGACAGAAAACCUUUUAGCGCAAUAAAUAAAGUACUGCAAAGGAAAAAUGAAAUAGAAAUGAUAUAAAUCAUUAAAACAAAAUAAAGCAAGAACUAAACCCCAUACCUUUUGCAUAAUGGUCUAGCAAGUCUUGUUCACAAAAAGAAUUUUAGCCGCACCCCCGAAACCAGACGAGCUACCUUAAGGCAGCAAUAAGAGCAAACCCGUCUCUGUAGCAAAAGAGUGGGAAGACCUAAAGGUAGUGGCGAAAAACCUAACGAGCCAGGAUAUAGCUGGUUACUUGAGAACGAAUUUUAGUUCAACUAAGAGCAAACAACCACCUAAAGAAUUAAGUAUGCUCUUAAUAUAAUUAACUGGGGAACAGCCCAGUUUAAAAGGGAAACAGCCCG
RNAcentral lists this ribosomal RNA (463 nucleotides) under Eurycea wilderae. Its description in RNAcentral is "partial 16S ribosomal RNA". The stretch from base 158 to 463 matches the Rfam family "Bacterial large subunit ribosomal RNA", at positions 568 to 1029 of the family's 2925-position model. Lineage: Eukaryota; Metazoa; Chordata; Amphibia; Caudata; Plethodontidae. The record is from RNAcentral.